CGAAGAAACGCCACGACGAAGGGCACUGAGGACGAGCCUGCGGCCCAUCAGCUAGUUGGUGAGGUAAGAGCUCACCAAGGCUAAGACGGGUAGCUGGUCUGAGAGGAUGAUCAGCCACACUGGAACUGAGACACGGUCCAGACUCCUACGGGAGGCAGCAGUGGGGAAUAUUGCGCAAUGGGCGAAAGCCUGACGCAGCCACGCCGCGUGAGCGAUGAAGGCCUUCGGGUCGUAAAGCUCUGUGGGGAGAGACGAAGAAAGCCUGUGAAGAGCAGGCCUUGACGGUAUCUCCUUAGCAAGCACCGGCUAACUCCGUG
RNAcentral lists this ribosomal RNA (317 nucleotides) under uncultured bacterium. RNAcentral's name for it is "bacterial SSU rRNA". It matches the Rfam family "Bacterial small subunit ribosomal RNA", at positions 197 to 507 of the family's 1533-position model. The record is from RNAcentral.